RNAcentral lists this ribosomal RNA (584 nucleotides) under uncultured bacterium. Its description in RNAcentral is "partial 16S ribosomal RNA". It matches the Rfam family "Bacterial small subunit ribosomal RNA", at positions 355 to 935 of the family's 1533-position model. The record is from RNAcentral.
UGGGGAAUUUUGGACAAUGGGCGAAAGCCUGAUCCAGCAAUGCCGCGUGUGUGAAGAAGGCCUUCGGGUUGUAAAGCACUUUUGUCCGGAAAGAAAUCCUUGGCUCUAAUACAGUCGGGGGAUGACGGUACCGGAAGAAUAAGCACCGGCUAACUACGUGCCAGCAGCCGCGGUAAUACGUAGGGUGCAAGCGUUAAUCGGAAUUACUGGGCGUAAAGCGUGCGCAGGCGGUUUGCUAAGACCGAUGUGAAAUCCCCGGGCUCAACCUGGGAACUGCAUUGGUGACUGGCAGGCUAGAGUAUGGCAGAGGGGGGUAGAAUUCCACGUGUAGCAGUGAAAUGCGUAGAGAUGUGGAGGAAUACCGAUGGCGAAGGCAGCCCCCUGGGCCAAUACUGACGCUCAUGCACGAAAGCGUGGGGAGCAAACAGGAUUAGAUACCCUGGUAGUCCACGCCCUAAAACGAUGUCAACUAGUUGUUGGGGGAUUCAUUUCCUUAGUAACGUAGCUAACGCGUGAAGUUGACCGCCUGGGGAGUACGGUCGCAAGAUUAAAACUUAAAUGAAUUGACGGGGUCAUAGCUGUUU